AUGAGCACCCCAAAUUCCCAAUUCCAUUCCCACCCACUACUGCGGCUGUGGUUGCCAGUAAUCCAACUAGUCAUCUUGGCCGCCGCGGCUGAGCAGCAGCAAGGUUGCCGUGACAAGUGCGGCCACAUCAGCAUCCCCUUCCCUUUCGGCAUCGGCCGCGGCUGCUUCCGCCAUGGCUUCGAGGUCGUGUGCAACGACUCCUCGUAUCCCCCUCGCGCCUUCCUUGCUGGCAAAAGAAUAUCCAGGUUGUCGUCGUCCCCACUGGAUCCCGAGAACGGGAGCGAUUGGUCCUUCUCGUCGAUCGAGCUUGUGAGCAUAUCAGUCGCCACGGGCAAGGCACGGGUGUACGCCCCGGUCUCGUACCUCUGCAGCACAAAUCUCAACAGGACCUUCUCCGCGAUCUACAAUAUUCACUUGGCCCACACGCCGUUCGCCGUGUCGGCGACGCGCAAUAUUCUCGUCGGCGUCGGCUGGAGAGUCGAUGCUUUCGUGACUUUCAUCGACUUUCCGCUGAGGUGGCCGUAUACGGUCAUGUUCGCCUGCAGUGCUCGUGCACGCAAUCUCCUGCCAAGUGUGACCCCAACAAACGGGUCGUGCACGGGGAGGGGCUGCUGCCACACCACCAUCCCACCGGACAACAACCUCGGCAACUUGUUAAGCUUUUCUGUCAAGGGCGAGGUCCCCAACGAGCGGUGGGAAGACUACCCGUGCUCCUACGCCAUGCUGGUGGACAAGUCAUGGUACAACUUCUCUACGCCAGACAUGGAGGGCAACAGGACGCUACUCAAAAGGUUCCCCCGGGGCGUCCACAUCGCGCUCGAUUUCGCCGCCGGGAACACUUCGUGUCCGGCCAAGGGACAGCCACCCCCUCCGGACUACGCCUGCAUCAGCGGCAACAGCUCUUGCGCCAACUCAACACAUACUCCUGGCUAUAUCUGCAAGUGCUGGGACCAUUACGCUGGCAACCCUUACAUCACUCACGGAUGCCAAGAUAUUGAUGAAUGCAAGCUCCCGCAUGUGUAUCCCUGCUCAAAUGGCGGGAUCUGCAAAAACAGGCUCGGAGGCUAUGACUGUCCAUGCAAGUUCGGGAUGAAAGGCGACGGCAAAGCGGGAACCUGCUCAGAUAUAUUCACUCCAGCGGCCAAGGCGGCUGUGGGUGCCAUUGGCGGUAUUCUUCUGAUGGCUGUUUUAUCAUUUCUUCUUAUUCUUCACAAAGAGAAAAAGAAGACGGAAGAAUUCUACAAAAAGAAUGGUGGCCCUACAUUAGAGAAGGCAGAUGUCAUUAAACUUUUCAAAAAGGGGGAGCUCAAGCCAAUUUUGAGGAGUAGUAACUUAAUUGGAAAAGGUUACUUUGGUGAAGUUUACAAGGGCCUUCUUGACAAUAAAUUAGUUGCAAUAAAGAAGCCGAUUAAUGGUAGUGUGCUAGAGAGUGAACAAUUUGCAAAUGAAGUCAUCAUCCAAUCUAGAGUCAUUCACAAGAACAUUGUCAGGCUCAUUGGUUGUUGCCUUGAAGUUGAUGCCCCUAUGCUGGUCUACGAGUUUAUCUCUCAAGGUAGCCUCCUUGACAUCCUUCACAACAGUAAUAACAAGGUGGCCCUCAACUUGGAUACACGUUUAAGUAUUGCAGCACAAUCAGCGGACGGUCUAGCUUAUAUGCACUCAAAAACAAAUAGUACAAUUCUACAUGGUGAUGUUAAACCAGCAAAUAUACUCCUGGAUGAUAACUUUGUUCCCAAGAUUUCAGACUUCGGCAUAUCUAAGUUGAUUCAGAGAGACAAGCAACACACUGGACAAGUCAUCGGCGACAUGAAUUAUAUGGAUCCAGUAUAUCUACAAGAAGGCCGACUCACUGAAAAAAGUGAUGUCUAUAGUUUCGGAAUUGUGAUCCUAGAGCUUAUUAGUAGGAGGAGGGCCAUACAUUCUGAGAAUAAUAGCUUGGUAAAAGGCUUUCUUGAAGCACAUAAGAAACAGAAGAAAACGACUGAGUUUUAUGACAAGGAAAUUGCAAUAACAAAAGAUUUGGAGCUUCUUGAUAGUCUGGCAGAUAUAGUCGUGGAAUGCCUUAGCCUUGAUGUAGACCAAAGACCAACGAUGAUGGAGGUAGCGGAGCAACUGCUCGUACUAGGCCGGUCUCGUAAAGCGUAG
Molecule: ribosomal RNA, 2145 nt
Filed under: Triticum aestivum (bread wheat)
Lineage: Eukaryota; Viridiplantae; Streptophyta; Magnoliopsida; Poales; Poaceae
Description: partial small subunit ribosomal RNA
Source: RNAcentral